GUGCUUGCUUCGGCAGCACAUAUACUAAAAUUGGAAAGAUACAGAGAAGAUUAGCAUGGCCUAUGCACAAGGAUGACACACAAAUUCGUGAAGCGUUCUGUAUUUAC
This 107-nucleotide small nuclear RNA is filed under the name Tupaia belangeri chinensis (Chinese tree shrew). Lineage: Eukaryota; Metazoa; Chordata; Mammalia; Scandentia; Tupaiidae. The record is from RNAcentral.